This 1458-nucleotide ribosomal RNA is filed under the name uncultured marine bacterium. RNAcentral's name for it is "16S ribosomal RNA". It matches the Rfam family "Bacterial small subunit ribosomal RNA". The record is from RNAcentral.
GAGUUUGAUCCUGGCUCAGAACGAACGCUGGCGGCAGGCCUAACACAUGCAAGUCGAGCGCACCCUUCGGGGCGAGCGGCGGACGGGUUAGUAACGCGUGGGAACAUACCCUUUACUACGGAAUAGCCUCGGGAGACUGAGAGUAAUACCGUAUGUGCCCUUCGGGGGAAAGAUUUAUCGGUAAAGGAUUGGCCCGCGUAAGAUUAGAUAGUUGGUGGGGUAAUGGCCUACCAAGCCUACGAUCUAUAGCUGGUUUGAGAGGAUGAUCAGCCACACUGGAACUGAGACACGGUCCAGACUCCUACGGGAGACAGCAGUGGGGAAUAUUGGACAAUGGGCGCAAGCCUGAUCCAGCCAUGCCGCGUGUGUGAAGAAGGCUCUAGGGUUGUAAAGCACUUUCAGUAGGGAGGAAGGCCAGAGUGUUAAUAGCGCUUUGGAUUGACGUUACCUACAGAAGCAGCACCGGCUAACUCCGUGCCAGCAGCCGCGGUAAUACGGAGGGUGCAAGCGUUAAUCGGAAUUACUGGGCGUAAAGCGCGCGUAGGCGGUUUGUUAAGUGUGAUGUGAAAGCCCAGGGCUCAACCUUGGAACUGCAUCACAUACUGGCAAGCUAGAGUACGGUAGAGGGAGGUAGAAUUCACAGUGUAGCGGUGGAAUGCGUAGAUAUUGUGAAGAAUACCAAUGGCGAAGGCAGCCUCCUGGAUCUGUACUGACACUGAGGUGCGAAAGCGUGGGUAGCGAACAGGAUUAGAUACCCUGGUAGUCCACGCCGUAAACGAUGUCAACUAUCUGUUGGAAAGCAUUGCUUUUCAGUGGAGCAGCUAACGUAAUAAGUUGACCGCCUGGGGAGUACGGCCGCAAGGCUAAAACUCAAAUGAAUUGACGGGGACCCGCACAAGCGGUGGAGCAUGUGGUUUAAUUCGAUGCAACGCGAAAAACCUUACCUAUGCUUGACAUACUUGGAAUACUUUGUAAUGAAGUAGUGCCUUCGGGAGCCAAGAUACAGGUGCUGCAUGGCUGUCGUCAGCUCGUGUCGUGAGAUGUUCGGUUAAGUCCGGCAACGAGCGCAACCCACAUCUUUAGUUGCCAGCAGUUCGGCUGGGCACUCUAGAGAAACUGCCCGUGAUAAGCGGGAGGAAGGUGAGGACGACGUCAAGUCAUCAUGGCCCUUACGUGUUGGGCUACACACGUGCUACAAUGGCAUCUACAACAGGAAGCAAAACGGCAACGUUAAGCAAAUCCCGAAAAGAUGCCUCAGUUCGGAUUGCACUCUGCAACUCGAGUGCAUGAAGCUGGAAUUACUAGUAAUCGUGGAUCAGCGUGCCACGGUGAAUGCGUUCCCGGGUCUUGUACACACCGCCCGUCACACGAUGGGAGUUGGUUCUACCUUAAGGCAAGGUUUCAAACCCUUGACCACGGUAUAGUCAGCGACUGGGGUGAAGUCGUAACAAGGUAACC